Molecule: RNA transcript, 2101 nt
Organism: Anopheles arabiensis
Lineage: Eukaryota; Metazoa; Arthropoda; Insecta; Diptera; Culicidae
Gene name: carboxypeptidase B-like
Exons: 5
Source: RefSeq, a predicted model, not a curated record
CCUGCAACUCCCGCUGCCACAAUGAAGCUACUCGCGGUGUUGGUGUUUCUGUUCACCGUCGGCACCGUUUGCCGGGCGGAGCAGCAAAAGUUCGAAAACUACAAGCUCUACUCACUGUACGUCGAGGAUGACGAACAGGCGGAAGAGCUGCACAACUGGUACGCCGACGGGAAGCUCGACUUCUGGAGCUACGGCACACUGAACGACAGCGUCACCGUGAUGGUGCAGCCUGAUCUGCAGGAAUACUUCGAGGCCAUGCUGGACGAUGUGCAGCUCGAAUCGGAGCUGGUAGAGGAGAACGUACAGUCACUGCUCGAGCACGAGCAGGAAAAGCGCAACCUGCACAUCCUGAGCAAGCGUCGCCGGCCCCAGAAGGUCCCACAGAAGCCAAACAGCACGCAGGGUGAGCUCGAUGAGGAUGCGAUCGAUUUCGAGCACUUCUGGACGCUGGAUGAGAUCUAUCGCUAUAUGGAUCGGAUGGAGCGCCAGUACCCGAAUCUGGUGCGCGUGCUGAAGAUUGGGCAGACGUACGAGAACCGUUCGAUACUGGCGCUUACGGUCUCAAGGGAUGGGAGCAUCAAUCAGACGCGCCCGGUCGUGCUGGUCGAUGCGGGUGUGCAUGCGCGCGAGUGGGCCUCGCACAUGUCGGCGCUGUAUCUGAUCAACCAGCUGGUGGAGAGUGCGGACAAGAAUGAGGAUCUGCUGUACAAUACGGAUUGGAUCAUUGUGCCGGUGGCUAACCCGGAUGGAUAUGUGUACUCGUACGAGACGAACCGUCUGUGGCGCAAGAACCGCUUUGCUGGCAAUGUGAUGUGCGUUGGUACGGAUGUGAACCGUAAUUUCCCGUUCCGCUGGGGCUACAAUUCGCAUUCCUGCACGGAUGGAUACGCUGGCCGUACGCCCGGCUCGGAGAAGGAAACCCAAGCGCUCAUGCUGCUGAUGUCCCAGUUCUCGCGCAGCAUCAAGAUGUACCUAUCGCUGCACAGCUGCGGCGAAUACAUCCUCUACCCGUACGGUUUCACCUUCCAGUUCGUUCCGAACGAGGCCGAACUUCACGCUCUCGGCACGGAGGCGGCCGAAGCGGUCAAGAACAUUGGCGGUCCCGAGUACAUCGUUGGGCAGGCAUCGGGUCUGCUGUAUCUCGCCACCGGUAGUGACGAUUUCAUCUACGGUGCGUACGGUGUCCAGUACGCGUACACGCUGGAGCUGUCGUGCGGAAACCGUGGCUAUGGCUUCAUCAUUGAGCCGGACCAGAUUGAGCCGAUUGCGGCGGAAACGUUCGAGAUGAUGAAGGUGUUUGGCAUGCACGCCGGCAGCCUGAAGAUUAGCAAGCGUCCGUAGAACCAAGCAAGAGAGAGACACGCAUAAGAGACAUCAGUGGGUGGAAGUCCACGAACCGCUCGCCGCUCUUUAAAAACACAUUCCGCACACGUAAUCGCUAUCGAAUUUGAAUAUCGCAAUAAAUAAACUGAGAGAUGCUCGUAUAUAGGCGAUGCUCGUGCAAAAAAAAAACACAAAAACUGAACCACAAAACCCCUCCCCGAACUCGAACUCGAAUCAAGAAGCAAUAACAAUGCGUCCGAUAAGGUUGAAUCUAGAUAAAUGAGUCUCUCCCCACCCGUUCGGCCGACACCCUCCGAACGCAUCGGGUCGUCCGCAUAUUGAUCCUACGGCUUGACCAGCGAGAAUGAGCACCGCCCGGUGUUUGGCGAGCGAUUGAGCGAGCUCCAGUUGUGAUAUAUUUAUUUCACUUAUGUUCUACCCGCGACGGCACGCGGUGACGCUGGAGCGGCGAACGCGUAAGAUAAUGAUUGUGCGAGAGAUAAGCCAAUGUCCAAUGAGGGCCGAACCGAACGGGCACCGAUUCCCGAGCACCAGAUCCAGUUGUCGUUUGGCAGUGGAUGAGCGAAGCAAUGAAGCGGCUAACAUUCGUGACCGGCUGUUUGCUGGCCUUGGCAUUCGCCAAAGCCGGUUCUUAUCAUGAAUUCGAGCUGUACAACGUGCGCCCGGAAACGGCGGAACAGCUGACGGUGCUGCUCAAGUGGCGCAAUGGGCAGGAGAUUGAGGUGGACUUCUGGGAUGCACCGAAGGUGGGCCGUAG